CAGUAGCCACGGGAAUACAGAGGGUGCGAGCGUUAAUCGGAUUUACUGGGCGUAAAGCGUGUGUAGGUUGUUGUUCAAGUCAGUUGUGAAAUCCCUGGGCUCAACCUGGGAACUGCUUCUGAGACUGAACGACUAGAGUACGGUAGAGGGUGGUGGAAUUUCCGGUGUAGCGGUGAAAUGCGUAGAUAUCGGAAGGAACAUCAAUGGCGAAGGCAGCCACCUGGGCCUGUACUGACACUGAGACACGAAAGCGUGGGGAUCAAACAGGAUUAGAUACCCCCGUAGUCCCUGUCUCUUAUAC
This 301-nucleotide ribosomal RNA is filed under the name uncultured bacterium. RNAcentral describes it as "partial 16S ribosomal RNA". It matches the Rfam family "Bacterial small subunit ribosomal RNA", at positions 509 to 807 of the family's 1533-position model. The record is from RNAcentral.